CCUACGGGAGGCAGCAGUGGGGGAUAUUGCACAAUGGGGGGAACCCUGAUGCAGCGACGCCGCGUGGGUGAAGGAGCGUUUCGGCGCGUAAAGCCCUAUCGGCAGGGAAGAAGGUGACGGUACCUGACUAAGAAGCCCCGGCGAACUACGUGCCAGCAGCUGCGGUAAUACGUAGGGGGCAAGCGUUCGCCGGAUUUACUGGGUGUAAAGGGGGCGCAGACGGCAAUGCAAGCCAGGAGUGAAAGCCCGGGGCCCAACCCCGGGACUGCUCUUGGAACUGCAUGGCUGGAGUACAGAAGGGGAAGGCGGAACUCCAAGUGUAGCGGUGGAAUGCGUAGAUAUAAGGAGGAACACCAGUGGCGAAGGCGGCCGGCUGGACUGUGACUGACGUUGAGGCCCGAAGGCAUGGGGAGCGAACAGGAUUAGAUACCCGGGUAGUC
Molecule: ribosomal RNA, 440 nt
Filed under: uncultured bacterium
Lineage: Bacteria
Description: partial 16S ribosomal RNA
Rfam family: Bacterial small subunit ribosomal RNA
Source: RNAcentral